UACGAAGGGGGCUAGCGUUGCUCGGAAUCACUGGGCGUAAAGCGCACGUAGGCGGAUUGCUAAGUCAGGGGUGAAAUCCUGGAGCUCAACUCCAGAACUGCCUUUGAUACUGGCGAUCUCGAGUCCGGGAGAGGUGAGUGGAACUGCGAGUGUAGAGGUGAAAUUCGUAGAUAUUCGCAAGAACACCAGUGGCGAAGGCGGCUCACUGGUCCGAUACUGACGCUGAGGCACGAAAGCGUGGGGAGCAAACAGG
RNAcentral lists this ribosomal RNA (253 nucleotides) under uncultured bacterium. RNAcentral's name for it is "partial 16S ribosomal RNA". It matches the Rfam family "Bacterial small subunit ribosomal RNA", at positions 524 to 776 of the family's 1533-position model. The record is from RNAcentral.